RNAcentral lists this unclassified non-coding RNA (362 nucleotides) under Hevea brasiliensis (rubber tree). The record is from RNAcentral. Lineage: Eukaryota; Viridiplantae; Streptophyta; Magnoliopsida; Malpighiales; Euphorbiaceae.
UUUCAGCAUCUUUAAUUUCAGUUUCCUUUACACCCUCAGAUUUCUCUGUUUCCUUGUUUUCCUUCUUUUUUGAACCUGGAGAUUUUCUUGCUCGUUUCCUUGGGGGCUCUUCCUGUGGUGGAGUUGCCUUGGCUUUCUCACUAAUCCUAGUUGAUCUCCUAGGUGUCUCGCCUGUACUCCAAUCAAAAUCCGAUACUGAAAUAUCUCCAGGGUGCGAUUUUAAGUACUGCUCGAGCUGUUUUUUAUUACUGAUCUCCUCGCCAGUAGGUGCUAUAAAUAUGAUAUCAUUCUUCCUUGGUGCACCUCCCUUCUUGGGUGAAAACAGUUUCUUCCAAGAAGGUGGAGCUGGAAGCUGAACAGAA